GGGAAUAUUGCGCAAUGGGCGAAAGCCUGACGCAGCGACGCCGCGUGGGGGAUGAAGCAUUUCGGUGUGUAAACCCCUGUUGCUCGGGACGAACAAGCCUUUUCGAGGGCUCUGACGGUACCGGGUGAGGAAGCACCGGCUAACUCUGUGCCAGCAGCCGCGGUAAUACAGAGGGUGCGAGCGUUGUCCGGAAUCACUGGGCGUAAAGGGCGCGUAGGCGGCCGAUCAAGUGUGUGGUGAAAGCCCGGGGCUCAACCCCGGGUCUGCCGUGCAAACUGGUUGGCUUGAGCACUGUAGAGGCAGGUGGAAUUCCGGGUGUAGCGGUGGAAUGCGUAGAGAUCCGGAAGAACACCGGUGGCGAAGGCGGCCUGCUGGGCAGUAGCUGACGCUGAGGCGCGACAGCGUGGGGAGCAAA
Molecule: ribosomal RNA, 415 nt
Filed under: uncultured bacterium
Lineage: Bacteria
Description: bacterial SSU rRNA
Rfam family: Bacterial small subunit ribosomal RNA
Source: RNAcentral